GAUCCUGGCUCAGGAUGAACGCUAGCGGCAGGCCUAAUACAUGCAAGUCGAGGGGCAGCGCGGUAGCAAUACUGGCGGCGACCGGCGCACGGGUGCGUAACACGUAUGCAACCUACCUUCAACUGGAGGAUAGUCCGGGGAAACUCGGAUUAAUACUCCAUAACACAGGGAUCCCGCAUGGGAAUAUUGUUAAAGCUACGGCGGUUGAAGAUGGGCAUGCGUUCGAUUAGCUAGUUGGUGUAGGUAACGGCUCACCAAGGCUACGAUCGAUAGGGGGUCUGAGAGGAUGAUCCCCCACACUGGUACUGAGAUACGGACCAGACUCCUACGGGUAGGCAGCAGUAGGGAAUAUUGGUCAAUGGGCGCAAGCCUGAACCAGCCAUGCCGCGUGCAGGAAGAAGGCCCUCUGGGUUGUAAACUGCUUUUGAUAGGGAACAAAUGCCACUUACGAGUGGAGCUGAGUGUACCUAUAGAAUAAGCACCGGCUAACUCCGUG
This 496-nucleotide ribosomal RNA is filed under the name uncultured bacterium. RNAcentral describes it as "bacterial SSU rRNA". It matches the Rfam family "Bacterial small subunit ribosomal RNA", at positions 15 to 507 of the family's 1533-position model. The record is from RNAcentral.